Ictalurus punctatus (channel catfish) is the source of this 118-nucleotide ribosomal RNA. The record is from Ensembl. NCBI's taxonomy places the organism in Eukaryota, Metazoa, Chordata, Actinopteri, Siluriformes, Ictaluridae.
GCUUACGCCAUACCACUCUGAAAAAGCCUGAUCUCAUCUGAACUCGGAAGCAAGCAGAGUUGGGGCCUGGUUAGUACUCGGUUGGGAGACUGAAUGGGAAUACUAGGUGCUGUAAGCU